RNAcentral lists this long non-coding RNA (1840 nucleotides) under Homo sapiens (human). Its description in RNAcentral is "HSALNT0121496". The record is from RNAcentral. Lineage: Eukaryota; Metazoa; Chordata; Mammalia; Primates; Hominidae.
AGUUUUCUGGAUUUCAUUUUGUUUUUUACCCAGCUAGUUAUAGAUGCCACAGGGUGACCUCCUUUUCCCUUCUAGGCUAAAGCUGUCAUAGGUCUAUGAAAAUCUAGGGAUUCCCUUCUAGGCUUCACAGUCUUAAGUGGUGUGUGUGCUUUGCAGAUGAGCAAGGCUUGUUUUGUAUUGAUAUGUUGCUGCCUUGACUUCUUGGAUUUCUAGAUCAUAUAGCAAGGUAAAUGUUAGUCUGUUCUCGCACUGCUAUAAAGACAUACCCGAGAAUGGGUAAUUUAUAAAGAAAAGAGGUUUAAUUAACUCACAGUUCCACAUGGCUGGGGAGGCCUCAGGAAACUUAAAAUCAUGGCAGAAGAUGAAGCAGACGUGUCUUACAUGUCAGCAGAAAAGAGAGAGAAGGGGAGAGAGAGAAUGAGAAUUCAUGAGAGUGAGCAGGAGCGAGCAUGUGCAUGCAAGAGCAGGAAAAACUGCCUUAUAAAACCAUCAGAUCUCGUGAGAACUCACUGUCACGAGAACAGCAUGGAGGAAACUGCUUCCAUGAUCCAGUCACCUCCCACCUAGUCCCUCCCUCAACAAGUGGGGUUAUGGCGAUUAUAAUUCAAGAUGAGAUUUUGGUGGGGACACAGCCACACCCUAUCAGCAGGUUUGUAAUUAGAUGAGUUUAUCCACUGGGGGGUAAUCCUAGAGUACAUAUCUGUGGGUGGUUCUUGACAAGUGUGUAAGGCCUGGGACAUCUGGCUUUGAGGCAGUUCUUUCUCCAGGUUUUAUUUAUGCGAAUCCACUCAUCUGGCAGGAAUGAUUUGUUGGUGUGAAAUCAGGUGUUGGCCCAGCAUCCUGCACAUGUUCCAUCCACAUGGCAGUGAUGGUCAUUGCACACCAGUGCUUGGUCUCCCAAGUUCUGGAGAGUGUUUUUAUUUCACUGCCAUCUAAUUUAUCCAGAAAGUUCAAGUAGCGUAUUUUCUGUAGAUUCUUAUAAUUUCAAGAUUACCAGGUCCCUGUGUGAACUCUCAGACCACAUCCUGUUGCCUUUCUCUGUCAUUCUAUUGUUUUCUCUCCCAGGAGGGCUGGGUGGUAGGGUAUUUAUUAAUUUAUUGCCCCAUAUACUAAUGAGUUCCUUCCUAGAACUCCUUACAACUCUCAGUCCAUGGCCUGUUGUCCAUCUUUGCUGUCCCAGGAGUGCUGGUAGGUAGAGUAUUUAAUGAUCUCUUCUUGUCCCUAGGUUGAGGAGCCCUCACUCACCUUGGUCCAUUCCUUGGUCCAUUCCAGCUGUCUGUUUUCACUUUUCCUGUGACCCAUGUCACCUUUUUCUCUCUGGGUCUUGCUGCCUCACUGGUAUGAAAUUCAGACUUGGGUGGGGCAGACUUGGGGGUUUCCUGCCUUGAAGAUCCUCAGAUCUUGUCCUGUGGUACAUGCAGCUACCCUGAUGGCACACUUCAGCAGGAGGGUGAUCUUUUCUGUUCUUUUUUGUUGUUGUCUUAUUUCCUCUGCCUGCCCCCACCAUUUUUAGUCUGAGGGAAAUCUGUCUUCCAUCAUCUUUCUGCCUAAAAUAUUUAGUCCAUCCCCAGAAGUCUUAGGUUUCUGGGACACCAGCCCUAGUCAUUUAAUGUUUGAAUAAUUGGUAACCUUCCCACUACCCUAUUAAUCUCCAAGGUCUUCCUAUUUCUUAUGUCUACAUAAUACAGCUAAGACAAUUCUCGGUGCCUGCUACUUCAUUCUUAUUUGCUGCUUGUGAUUUUCAGUAGCUUUCUUAGUCCCUAAGAAUAAAAUAAAACUUGAUCAUUUUGUUGCUAUUUGUUGCCAUUUGUUGCUAUGCUUAUUUAUUUUUAUGUUUUGU